RNAcentral lists this ribosomal RNA (496 nucleotides) under uncultured bacterium. RNAcentral describes it as "partial 16S ribosomal RNA". It matches the Rfam family "Bacterial small subunit ribosomal RNA", at positions 29 to 507 of the family's 1533-position model. The record is from RNAcentral.
AUGAACGCUGGCGGCGUGCCUCAUACAUGCAAGUCGAGCGAGCAGACGAGGAGCUUGCUCCUCUGACGUUAGCGGCGGACGGGUGAGUAACACGUGGAUAACCUACCUAUAAGACUGGGAUAACUUCGGGAAACCGGAGCUAAUACCGGAUAAUAUAUUGAACCGCAUGGUUCAAUAGUGAAAGACGGUUUUGCUGUCACUUAUAGAUGGAUCCGCGCCGCAUUAGCUAGUUGGUAAGGUAACGGCUUACCAAGGCGACGAUGCGUAGCCGACCUGAGAGGGUGAUCGGCCACACUGGAACUGAGACACGGUCCAGACUCCUACGGGAGGCAGCAGUAGGGAAUCUUCCGCAAUGGGCGAAAGCCUGACGGAGCAACGCCGCGUGAGUGAUGAAGGUCUUCGGAUCGUAAAACUCUGUUAUUAGGGAAGAACAAAUGUGUAAGUAACUAUGCACGUCUUGACGGUACCUAAUCAGAAAGCCACGGCUAACUACGUG